RNAcentral lists this RNase P RNA (399 nucleotides) under Planctomycetia bacterium. RNAcentral describes it as "RNase P RNA component class A". It matches the Rfam family "Bacterial RNase P class A". Rfam says of the family: Ribonuclease P (RNase P) is a ubiquitous endoribonuclease, found in archaea, bacteria and eukarya as well as chloroplasts and mitochondria. Lineage: Bacteria; Pseudomonadati; Planctomycetota; Planctomycetia. The record is from RNAcentral.
GAAGAGAAGCGGGCGGUCGCUUACGAUAUUCGUAAGAGGAAAGUCCGGGCUUCACAGGACAGGGAGAUGGAUAACGUCCACCGGUCGUGAGAUCAGGGAAAGUGCCACAGAAAAUAAACCGCCCCGGGUUUUUAAAUUUGGGGUAAGGGUGAAACGGUGAGGUAAGAGCUCACCAGCGGUCGAGGUGACUCGUCCGGCUCGGUAAACCCCUCCUGAAGCAAGAUUAAACAGAGGGAAGUGGUAAAGCGUAAAAACUUUUCCCCCAAUUUAGUCCGAAUUGGCGCCCCCCUCGGGUAAAUCGCUAGAACGGGCGAGUAAUCGUUCGUCCAGAUAAAUGAUCGUCACCUUUUUACUUACUCCACGUUUACGUACUUUACGAUAAAUUUUUGCACUUUUUGG